UUGUAAAAUGCCUUCUCAAUUCUCGCAUUUUUUCCCAUACAGAUGUUUGGCUAAUGAGAUGAUGGCAAGAAUGAAUUUGCGAGCAAACAAGGGAAAGGCAAUAAUUCUGUAUUCCGUUAUAAAAGAAUGUGUACUCGCCAGCAAUCCAAGGGCAACUGAAAGCAACAUAGACUAGAUCAUGGGGGAAAUAUCUGAAGUAUGCCCCUGAAAGAGCUGGAGGAGGUGGCCGAAAAGAGAACAAUGACUACUAGGCUUUAAUUAAAAAUAUAGUUUUUUGUGGGUCACUCACACUCUUGGAAAAAAACCACUGUAGUUAAAUAUCUUAACUAUUGCUUCUGCAAUAGAAAGUAAUUAUCAAAGUUAAUAAAUUUUAUACUAUCAUUCUAUUAAUUUUUGUUUUUGAAUUGAAAUUUAAUAUUUGAAAUCAUGUGAAAAGUCUGACAAAUUUAUUUUGCCUUUCAUUUGCGUGUAUAAAUGAAUUUAACCUUGUAUCAUUGUUGUAAUUUUUUACAGUGGAAGUUAUAGAGUUUCACUUGUAUUAUUCAUGUUGUUGUCAUUAUUCUUUUUGUAAGAAUUAAAUUAGGGAAGGAAGGGUUAGUAAUUGUAUUUAGAAUUAUGGAUUACAGCCUGAUGUUUACCAUUUGUCAGCAUGUACACUCAACAUUGCAAUAAAGAUCAAUAAUAUUUUCAAAA
This is a long non-coding RNA of Ostrea edulis (European flat oyster), 693 nucleotides long. RefSeq lists it as uncharacterized. Lineage: Eukaryota; Metazoa; Mollusca; Bivalvia; Ostreida; Ostreidae. The transcript has 2 exons. The record is from RefSeq and is a predicted model, not a curated record.